This 253-nucleotide ribosomal RNA is filed under the name uncultured bacterium. Its description in RNAcentral is "partial 16S ribosomal RNA". It matches the Rfam family "Bacterial small subunit ribosomal RNA", at positions 524 to 776 of the family's 1533-position model. The record is from RNAcentral.
UACGAAGGGGGCUAGCGUUGCUCGGAAUGACUGGGCGUAAAGGGCGCGUAGGCGGCUCACAGAGUCGGACGUGAAAUUCCCGGGCUCAACCUGGGGGCUGCACUUGAUACGUAUGGACUGGAGUGGGGAAGAGGGUCGUGGAAUUCCCAGUGUAGAGGUGAAAUUCGUAGAUAUUGGGAAGAACACCGGUGGCGAAGGCGGCGACCUGGUCCUUGACUGACGCUGAGGCGCGAAAGCGUGGGGAGCAAACAGG